Alosa sapidissima (American shad) is the source of this 820-nucleotide long non-coding RNA. RefSeq lists it as uncharacterized. The transcript has 4 exons. NCBI's taxonomy places the organism in Eukaryota, Metazoa, Chordata, Actinopteri, Clupeiformes, Clupeidae. The record is from RefSeq and is a predicted model, not a curated record.
GAGUUGGGGAUUAAACUUGACAGAGUAUGCAGGUCAAUCCAUCAUUAUCAAGUGUAACUACACAAGUGCACCUGUGAAUGACGAAAAAUAUUUCUGCAAGGAAGGACACAACUUGUCCUGUGAUGAGCAAAUCAGGAGCAAUGUGUCAGAAAAGUGGUGGCAAAGCAAAGGCCGAUUCUCUCUGUAUGACAACACUGCCAAAAGCUUCUUUAAAGUGUCCAUCAGAAACUUAACUGAGAGUGACAGCGGCAAAUACCGGUGUGGAGUUGGUGGGAGAGAGAUUAAAAGCACUGAUGCAUAUUUGAACGUAAUGGAGGGUCAAACAGAAUCCAGGAAACCUCCUGUGUAUGAGGGAUAUACAGGAGAAAACAUCUCUAUUAUGUGCCCUUAUGACCUGGGGAAGUACAGAAAUGUAAUGAAAUACUUUUGUAAAAAUUAAGCAGUUGCGUGUAUCAGUAGCGUAAGAACAGAGAAAAAAGAUCAAUGGUUCAAUCCUGAAAAAGAUUCCAGAGGUAAAGAUAGGUUCUAUUUCUAUGACAACACCACUGGAGGAUUCUUCAUGGUGAACAUCACCAACCUCACUACAGAGGAUGUUGGGACGUACUGGUGUGGUGUCCAUGUCUCUUUUCAGCAGAACUCUCCUCUCUCAGUGGACAACCUCACUGAAGUAAUACUCAACGUGAAGAAUGGAUCCCAUGAAGACGAUUCAAACGUUCUUUCACCAGGCAUUACGGCCCCACUCUUCAUCACUCUGGUCUUGGUGGCGCUGGUGUUUGGAGCCGCACUCUUCUUUUGUUGGCAACACAGAAGGAACAACAGU